UACGUAGGCAGCGAGCGUUGUUCGGAGUUACUGGGCGUAAAGGGUGUGUAGGCGGUUGUUUAAGUUUGGUGUGAAAUCUCCCGGCUCAACUGGGAGGGUGCGCCGAAUACUGAGUGACUAGAGUGCGGGAGAGGAAAGUGGAAUUCCUGGUGUAGCGGUGAAAUGCGUAGAUAUCAGGAGGAACAUCGGUGGUGUAGACGGCUUUCUGGACCGUAACUGACGCUGAGACACGAAAGCGUGGGUAGCAAACAGG
This 253-nucleotide ribosomal RNA is filed under the name uncultured bacterium. RNAcentral's name for it is "partial 16S ribosomal RNA". It matches the Rfam family "Bacterial small subunit ribosomal RNA", at positions 524 to 776 of the family's 1533-position model. The record is from RNAcentral.